CGGUGAGGACGACCUCCCCCUCUACGGGCAUCACCUCGGGACGACCCGA
RNAcentral lists this non-coding RNA (49 nucleotides) under Rhizobium tibeticum. RNAcentral's name for it is "Guanidine-II sequence". It matches the Rfam family "Guanidine-II riboswitch aptamer (mini-ykkC)". From Rfam's summary of the family: Simpler in structure and has fewer highly conserved nucleotide positions than the ykkC-yxkD leader. Despite this each of its two stem-loop structures directly bind free guanidine. The record is from Rfam by way of RNAcentral. Lineage: Bacteria; Pseudomonadati; Pseudomonadota; Alphaproteobacteria; Hyphomicrobiales; Rhizobiaceae.